CAGCCGCCACGGUAAUACGGGGGGAGCUAGCGUUGUUCGGAAUUACUGGGCGUAAAGCGCGCGUAGGCGGUUACUCAAGUCAGAGGUGAAAGCCCGGGGCUCAACCCCGGAACUGCCUUUGAAACUAGGUGACUAGAAUCUUGGAGAGGUCAGUGGAAUUCCGAGUGUAGAGGUGAAAUUCGUAGAUAUUCGGAAGAACACCAGUGGCGAAGGCGACUGACUGGACAAGUAUUGACGCUGAGGUGCGAAAGCGUGGGGAGCAAACAGGAUUAGAUACCCGUGUAGUCCCUGUCUCUUAUAC
RNAcentral lists this ribosomal RNA (301 nucleotides) under uncultured bacterium. RNAcentral's name for it is "partial 16S ribosomal RNA". It matches the Rfam family "Bacterial small subunit ribosomal RNA", at positions 509 to 807 of the family's 1533-position model. The record is from RNAcentral.